RNAcentral lists this ribosomal RNA (497 nucleotides) under uncultured bacterium. Its description in RNAcentral is "partial 16S ribosomal RNA". It matches the Rfam family "Bacterial small subunit ribosomal RNA", at positions 28 to 507 of the family's 1533-position model. The record is from RNAcentral.
GAUGAACGCUGGCGGCGUGCCUAAUACAUGCAAGUCGAGCGAACAGACGAGGGUCUUGCUCCUUCGACGUUAGCGGCGGACGGGUGAGUAACACGUAGGUAACCUACCUAUAAGACUGGGAUAACUACGGGAAACCGGAGCUAAGACCGGAUAAUAUUUCGAACCGCAUGGUUCGAUAGUGAAAGAUGGCUUUGCUAUCACUUAUAGCUGGACCUGCGCCGUAUUAGUUAGUUGGUAAGGUAACGGCUUACCAAGGCAACGAUGCGUAGCCGACCUGAGAGGGAGAACGGCCAGACUGGAAGUGAGACACGGUCGAGACUCUUACGGUAGGCAGCAGUAGGGAAUCUUACGCAAUGGGCGAGAGCCGGACGGAGCAACGUCGCGUGAGUGAUGAAGGUCUUCUGAUCGGAAAACUCUGAUAUUAGUGAAGAACAAACGUGUAAGUAACUGUGCACGUCUUGACGGUACCUAAUCAGAAAGCCACGGCUAACUACGUG